UACAGAGGUCUCGAGCGUUAAUCGGAGUUACUGGGCUUAAAGGGUGCGUAGGCGGUUCCGUAAGUGCCUUGUGAAAUCCCAUGGCUUAACCAUGGAAUUGCUCGGUAGACUGCGGGGCUUGAGGUCAGUAGGGGUCGCUGGAACUCUAGGUGGAGCGGUGAAAUGCGUAGAUAUCUAGAGGAACGCCAAAGGUGAAGACAGGCGACUGGGCUGAAUCUGACGCUGAGGCACGAAAGCGUGGGUAGCGAAC
This 250-nucleotide ribosomal RNA is filed under the name uncultured bacterium. RNAcentral describes it as "partial 16S ribosomal RNA". It matches the Rfam family "Bacterial small subunit ribosomal RNA", at positions 524 to 773 of the family's 1533-position model. The record is from RNAcentral.